RNAcentral lists this unclassified non-coding RNA (271 nucleotides) under rhizosphere metagenome. RNAcentral describes it as "partial ribosomal RNA internal transcribed spacer region". The record is from RNAcentral.
UCCCCUUGAUCCGCUAAUGUACGUACUAACAUCACACUCUAGGUGAACCUGCGGAAGGAUCAUUAUCGAGUUAGGGUCUCUGGCCCGACCUCCAACCCUCUGUUUAUACUACCGUGUUGCUUUGGCGGGCUGGCCCUUCACCGGGGCCGUCGGGGGCCUUUUGCCCCUGACCCGCGCCCGUCAGUAGCCUUUUUAAACUCUGUUUAACCGUGGUGUGACUGAGCAAACAUGAAAUUAAAGCAAAACUUUCAACAACGGAUCUCUUGGUUCU